GACGAACGCUGGCGGCGUGCCUAAUACAUGCAAGUUGAGCGAUGAAGAUUGGUGCUUGCCCCAAUUUGAAGAGCAGCGAACGGGUGAGUAACGCGUGGGGAAUCUGCCUUUGAGCGGGGGACAACAUUUGGAAACGAAUGCUAAUACCGCAUAACAACUUUAAACAUAAGUUUUAAGUUUGAAAGAUGCAAUUGCAUCACUCAAAGAUGAUCCCGCGUUGUAUUAGCUAGUUGGUGAGGUAAAGGCUCACCAAGGCGAUGAUACAUAGCCGACCUGAGAGGGUGAUCGGCCACAUUGGGACUGAGACACGGCCCAAACUCCUACGGGAGGCAGCAGUAGGGAAUCUUCGGCAAUGGACGAAAGUCUGACCGAGCAACGCCGCGUGAGGGAAGAAGGUUUUCGGAUCGUAAAACUCUGUUGGUAGAGAAGAACGUUGGUGAGAGUGGAAAGCUCAUCAAGUGACGGUAACUACCCAGAAAGGGACGGCUAACUACGUG
This 497-nucleotide ribosomal RNA is filed under the name uncultured bacterium. RNAcentral's name for it is "partial 16S ribosomal RNA". It matches the Rfam family "Bacterial small subunit ribosomal RNA", at positions 28 to 507 of the family's 1533-position model. The record is from RNAcentral.